This 25-nucleotide transfer RNA is filed under the name Meliosma tenuis. RNAcentral describes it as "partial tRNA-Leu". The record is from RNAcentral. Lineage: Eukaryota; Viridiplantae; Streptophyta; Magnoliopsida; Proteales; Sabiaceae.
GCCGCCAUGGUGAAAUCGGUAGACA